This 521-nucleotide long non-coding RNA is filed under the name Elaeis guineensis (African oil palm). RNAcentral describes it as "long non-coding RNA (EGUI_LNC033335)". The record is from RNAcentral. Lineage: Eukaryota; Viridiplantae; Streptophyta; Magnoliopsida; Arecales; Arecaceae.
UGGGAUGAAUAGAGACCGUGGGUCAUCCGAUAAUUGUAACAUGAACUUUUUUUGGCUGCAUAACAUUAUAACUUGACUGCAGGAAUUUUUCAUAUGUGCUACAUGACAUUGAAUUUUUGGUUAGGAUAGUUAAGCAAUAUCUAUUUAAAUGGUCUGUUGCAGAUAUUCUUUGGAUGAUCACUGUCAUUUUCUUGUCUUCCUGAUCCGUCUUCUUAUGUGCAGUAAUUUAGAAAUGCUUUUUGCUCUGCAUGCAAUUGAUGCUCUUGAGAGCGUUUCCUAUUUUAUGGUUUCACCAGUACUGCUUGAAUAUUGAUUUCCUUCUCUUCUCCAGUAGUUGAUCUGUUGGAGCAAUCUGCUUCUUGUCUUUUUCAGUUCAUGAUGGCUCUGGAGUUUCAUGCAUCCGUAUGAUCUCUAGUCAUGGUGGAGGAUUGUCUAUGUUCUGCUUCGCAGGCAGCUUGGCUCUUGUGGUACACAUCCAUGAUAUUUUUUUUCGGAUGUCAACUAGUAGUUUCAAAGAUCUC